This 462-nucleotide long non-coding RNA is filed under the name Ficedula albicollis (Collared flycatcher). RNAcentral's name for it is "lncRNA (ENSFALG00000026610.1)". Lineage: Eukaryota; Metazoa; Chordata; Aves; Passeriformes; Muscicapidae. The record is from RNAcentral.
GGAGCUUCCAGUGGCAGCCUGUCUGCUCCGCUGUCAGCUUACACGGCGGCGCUCCCUGCCCAGCCGCAGGGCCCGGCCCCCGGCGCUCGCAGCAUCCCGGCAGGCCUGCCCGAGGCCUGCGGCUUUCUCCUCUCCUUCCAAGUCAAAGAACCGGCUGGUGGUCCACUGAGCCUCCAGAUAAAGCUGUCCAAGCCCGGGGUUGGUGCAAGAGCUGGGACUGUGAGACUACGCCAACCUUUCCCUUGUGUAAUGUCAAUGUCGGCUAUCACUUUGGCAGAAUCACCCAGCUCAGUGAAGACAGAAAACCCCUCCUUUCCUCCUGUUUUUUCAUCUGCUGGUGGCAUUCCAAGUGACCUUCCCUCAUAAAUAUUGGUGAGUGACCACAUGGGGAAAGCAGUUCCUUCGUGCAAAGAAACUUGUUUCAAAAUGCUGUGUUGACCUGAGGGGUUUCCAUUUUCUCAA